AUUGAACGCUGGCGGCAUGCCUUACACAUGCAAGUCGAACGGCAGCACGGGAGCAAUCCUGGUGGCGAGUGGCGAACGGGUGAGUAAUAUAUCGGAACGUGCCCAGUCGUGGGGGAUAACGUAGCGAAAGCUACGCUAAUACCGCAUACGAUCUAAGGAUGAAAGCGGGGGAUCGCAAGACCUCGCGCGAUUGGAGCGGCCGAUAUCAGAUUAGGUAGUUGGUGAGGUAAAGGCUCACCAAGCCAACGAUCUGUAGCUGGUCUGAGAGGACGACCAGCCACACUGGAACUGAGACACGGUCCAGACUCCUACGGGAGGCAGCAGUGGGGAAUUUUUGGACAAUGGACGCAAGUCUGAUCCAGCCAUUCCGCGUGCAGGAUGAAGGCCCUCGGGUUGUAAACUGCUUUUGUACGGAACGAAAAGGUUUCUAUUAAUACUAGGAGCUCAUGACGGUACCGUAAGAAUAAGCACCGGCUAACUACGUGCCAG
Molecule: ribosomal RNA, 489 nt
Filed under: uncultured bacterium
Lineage: Bacteria
Description: bacterial SSU rRNA
Rfam family: Bacterial small subunit ribosomal RNA
Source: RNAcentral